RNAcentral lists this ribosomal RNA (266 nucleotides) under uncultured Staphylococcus sp. RNAcentral describes it as "partial 16S ribosomal RNA". It matches the Rfam family "Bacterial small subunit ribosomal RNA", at positions 96 to 354 of the family's 1533-position model. The record is from RNAcentral. Lineage: Bacteria; Bacillati; Bacillota; Bacilli; Caryophanales; Staphylococcaceae.
CGGCGGACGGGUGAGUAACACGUGGAUAACCUACCUAUAAGACUGGGAUAACUUCGGGAAACCGGAGCUAAUACCGGAUAAUAUAUUGAACCGCAUGGUUCAAUAGUGAAAGACGGUUUUGCUGUCACUUAUAGAUGGAUCCGCGCCGCAUUAGCUAGUUGGUAAGGUAACGGCUUACCAAGGCAGCGAUGCGUAGCCGACCUGAGAGGGUGAUCGGCCACACUGGAACUGAGACACGGUCCAGACUCCUACGGGAGGCAGCAGGU